This 467-nucleotide ribosomal RNA is filed under the name uncultured bacterium. RNAcentral's name for it is "partial 16S ribosomal RNA". It matches the Rfam family "Bacterial small subunit ribosomal RNA", at positions 28 to 507 of the family's 1533-position model. The record is from RNAcentral.
GACGAACGCUGGCGGCGUGCUUAACACAUGCAAGUCGAACGGAAAGGCCUCAGCUUGCUGGGGUACUCGAGUGGCGAACGGGUGAGUAACACGUGGGUGAUCUGCCUUGCACUCUGGGAUAAGCUUGGGAAACUGGGUCUAAUACCGGAUAUGAACUGCCUUUAGUGUGGUGGUUGGAAAGUUUUUUCGGUGCAAGAUGAGCUCGCGGCCUAUCAGCUUGUUGGUGGGGUAAUGGCCUACCAAGGCGUCGACGGGUAGCCGGCCUGAGAGGGUGUACGGCCACAUUGGGACUGAGAUACGGCCCAGACUCCUACGGGAGGCAGCAGGGGGGAAUAUUGCACAAUGGGCGGAAGCCUGAUGCAGCGACGCCGCGUGGGGGAGGACGGCCUUCGGGUUGUAAACUCCUUUCGACAGGGACGAAGCUUUUUGUGACGGUACCUGUAUAAGAAGCACCGGCUAACUACGUG